GGGGUCGUAACGGUUUCGACUGUGGGUGAAAGGGAAAAUAUAAGCAUACCGAAGCGCACGUCUUCGUUAAAACGGGCAAACUAAAUUUAAAUGCUGAUAACAACAGUUACGCAUUUGCUGCUUAAGUAAAAGCAGUCGUCCUUACUCGUCUUCCCGUCGGGCGGGAUAAGGGCGUCAUUUUGGCGGGGUACCGGUUUUGUGUUUUGACCGCGGCAUAAAAUCGGGAUUUAGCGGUUUACGGUCGAUAUUUUGCGCCUUACCAUAGUAUCGGCAAGAGAUUAAGUUAAGGCUAAGUAUGUAGAAGGUUUUUCGGUUCGUUCGCAACACGGCGGUUCGACUCCGCCCGAUUCCACCA
This 355-nucleotide transfer-messenger RNA is filed under the name Christensenellaceae. RNAcentral's name for it is "UBA4636 sp900770945 Standard tmRNA". It matches the Rfam family "transfer-messenger RNA". From Rfam's summary of the family: Bacterial tmRNA, also known as 10Sa RNA or SsrA, is named for its dual tRNA and mRNA-like properties. Its role is to liberate the mRNA from a stalled ribosome. Lineage: Bacteria; Bacillati; Bacillota; Clostridia; Christensenellales. The record is from RNAcentral. RNAcentral also lists the same sequence under 1 other name.